Molecule: ribosomal RNA, 563 nt
Filed under: Cytospora kantschavelii
Lineage: Eukaryota; Fungi; Ascomycota; Sordariomycetes; Diaporthales; Cytosporaceae
Description: partial 28S ribosomal RNA
Rfam family: Eukaryotic large subunit ribosomal RNA
Source: RNAcentral
UCGGACUUGCCUAGUACGGCGAGUGAAGCGGCAACAGCUCAAAUUUGAAAGCUGGCUCCGGCCCGCGUUGUAAUUUGCAGAGGAUGCUUCUGGUGAGGUGCCUUCCGAGUUCCCUGGAACGGGACGCCAUAGAGGGUGAGAGCCCCGUAUGGAUGGACACCAAACCUGUGUGAAGCUCCUUCAACGAGUCGAGUAGUUUGGGAAUGCUGCUCUAAAUGGGAGGUAAAUCUCUUCUAAAGCUAAAUACCGGCCAGAGACCGAUAGCGCACAAGUAGAGUGAUCGAAAGAUGAAAAGCACCUUGAAAAGGGGGUUAAACAGUACGUGAAAUUGUUGAAAGGGAAGCGCUUGUGACCAGACUUGCGCCGGGCAGCUCAUCAGGGGUUCUCCCCUGUGCACUCUGCCCGGCUCAGGCCAGCAUCGGUUCUCGUGGGAGGAUAAGAACGGUUGGAACGUGGCCCCCCUCCGGGGGGGUGUUAUAGCCUACCGUACGAUACUCCCGUGGGGACCGAGGUUCGCGCUCCGCAAGGAUGCUGGCGUAAUGGUCAUCAGCGACCCGUCUUAA